UAGGGAAUCUUCGGCAAUGGGGGCAACCCUGACCGAGCAACGCCGCGUGAGUGAAGAAGGUUUUCGGAUCGUAAAGCUCUGUUGUAAGAGAAGAACGUGUGUGAGAGUGGAAAGGUCACACAGUGACGGUAACUUACCAGAAAGGGACGGCUAACUACGUGCCAGCAGCCGCGGUAAUACGUAGGUCCCGAGCGUUGUCCGGAUUUAUUGGGCGUAAAGCGAGCGCAGGCGGUUUAAUAAGUCUGAAGUUAAAGGAAGUGGCUUAACCAUUGUUCGCUUUGGAAACUGUUAAACUUGAGUGCAGAAGGGGAGAGUGGAAUUCCAUGUGUAGCGGUGAAAUGCGUAGAUAUAUGGAGGAACACCGGUGGCGAAGGCGGCUCUCUGGUCUGUAACUGACGCUGAGGCUCGAAAGCGUGGGGAGCAAACAGG
This 429-nucleotide ribosomal RNA is filed under the name bacterium. RNAcentral's name for it is "partial 16S ribosomal RNA". It matches the Rfam family "Bacterial small subunit ribosomal RNA", at positions 355 to 776 of the family's 1533-position model. The record is from RNAcentral.